Molecule: microRNA precursor, 109 nt
Filed under: Zea mays
Lineage: Eukaryota; Viridiplantae; Streptophyta; Magnoliopsida; Poales; Poaceae
Description: MIR5565 microRNA precursor family
Rfam family: MIR5565 microRNA precursor family
Source: Rfam by way of RNAcentral
ACUCUUGUAUUAACCUCAAUUCACAUGUGUUGAUGUGGAUUGAGGUGUAAAUUAGUUUAAGUUAUAUCCCAAUCCACAUCAAUACAAGUGGAUUGAGAUUAAUACUAGA